UACGUAGGGGGCGAGCGUUGUCCGAAGUUACUGGGCGUAAAGAGCGCGUAGGCGGACCCUUAAGUGAGGGGGUGAAAGGUUCGGGCUCAACCCGGAGAGUGCCUUUCAUACUGGGGGUCUUGAGUGCGGGAGAGGGCAAGUGGAAGUGGUCGGUGUAGCGGUGAAAUGCGUAGAUAUCGAUCGGAACACCCGUGGCGAAGGCGGCUGCUGGCUCGCAACUGACGCUGAGGCGCGAAAGCGUGGGGAGCAAACAGG
RNAcentral lists this ribosomal RNA (255 nucleotides) under uncultured bacterium. RNAcentral describes it as "partial 16S ribosomal RNA". It matches the Rfam family "Bacterial small subunit ribosomal RNA", at positions 524 to 776 of the family's 1533-position model. The record is from RNAcentral.